RNAcentral lists this transfer RNA (73 nucleotides) under Dipodomys ordii (Ord's kangaroo rat). It matches the Rfam family "tRNA". Rfam says of the family: Transfer RNA (tRNA) molecules are approximately 80 nucleotides in length. Their secondary structure includes four short double-helical elements and three loops (D, anti-codon, and T loops). Lineage: Eukaryota; Metazoa; Chordata; Mammalia; Rodentia; Heteromyidae. The record is from Rfam by way of RNAcentral.
GGAGGCAUGGCUCAAAUGGUAGAGUACCAGCCUAACAAGCCUGAGACCCUGAGUUCAAACCUCAAUACUAUCA